This is a long non-coding RNA of Mesoplodon densirostris (Blainville's beaked whale), 809 nucleotides long. RefSeq lists it as uncharacterized. The transcript has 5 exons. The record is from RefSeq and is a predicted model, not a curated record. NCBI's taxonomy places the organism in Eukaryota, Metazoa, Chordata, Mammalia, Artiodactyla, Ziphiidae.
AUGAAGACUUUCUCAGAGGAGGAAAAAACAGAGAAAAUACAUUGCCAGAAGACCCUACUCUAAAAGAACUGUUAAAUGAAGUUCUUUAAACAGAAGGAGAUGCACAAAGAAAGAUCUGGAAAUGGAAUAAAUGAAGACAAAAGCUCAUCUACCUUGCCUGCUUCAUUAUUUAAGAUCCCGAAAGCCUCUACACAAGCCAACUGAAAGCAUGAACUUUUCUAGGGACCCUUUGGACAGACUGACUCCCAUUACUGAAAUCCCUGUCAUGCCAACAUUUCAGUUUUGGAAUUACAGCUUAGAAGCUUAACAACUUUUCUACUUAAAUGACAUGUGUUUAAAUACAAUUCAUCUACCUGGAAUUAGGAGAGAAAAGAAGAACCUCUAAAGCACAAAUUGGUGAAUGAACUACAUAAGAAGUUCAAGGAUUUAACAGCUGUUAAAUGCAGUCUAAUCAUGAGAUUAUAGAGAAUGAGAAUGAAGGAAAAUUUUAAGAAAAUAAUGCAUAACUAUUAAGGUAACUAUCAGAAAAAUCAUAAUAAUCUUUUUAUAUAUAUAUUAAUGUAACAGUCUGCAAACACCCUUCCUCUCUUGCUGCUAGUUCUCCUGCAUUCAAGCUAAGUUCAUUACCUUUAAAAAACCAAUUUCAUGUCAGUGUGGCUAAAAAAACUCCCGGUACCAUUAAUUACCAUAGGCUGUACAUAAAACUCCAUGGUUAAACUUUUGCAGCCUGGAAGCAGUCUUCCUGAAUAUCAUUUUCUAUGUGAUAUGUUCCAACCAAAUGUAAGUUUUCAAUUGAUACUCAAGCUAAG